This 348-nucleotide ribosomal RNA is filed under the name Epiperipatus ohausi. RNAcentral describes it as "partial large subunit ribosomal RNA". Lineage: Eukaryota; Metazoa; Onychophora; Udeonychophora; Euonychophora; Peripatidae. The record is from RNAcentral.
AGACUAGAAUGAAUGGAUUAAUGGGGCGUUGCUUUCUUAAAUUAAAGAUUAAAAAUAAUUUUUUUAGUGAAGAAACUAAAAUAAUAAUGAGGGACGAGAAGACCCUAUUAAGCUUGAUAUAAUUAUUUUGUUGGGGAAACAAAAGAAUAAUUUUUCUUUAAUUUUUAAUUUUUUGAUAAAAUUUGAUUUUUUAUUAAAGAUAAUAGAAUAAGUUACUAUAGGGAUAACAGCAUAAUUUUUUUUAAAAGUUCUUAUUUACAAAGAAGAUUAUGACCUCGAUGUUGGAUUAAAAUAAUUAUAUAAUGAAGUUGUUUUAUAAAUUAGUCUGUUCGACUAUUAAAUUUUUAC